GAUGAACGCUGGCGGCGUGCCUAAUACAUGCAGGUCGAGCGAACGGACGAGAAGCUUGCUUUUCUGAUGUUAGCGGCGGACGGGUGGGUAACACGUGGAUAACCUACCUAUAAGACUGGGAUAACUUCGGGAAACCGGAGCUAAUACCGGAUAAUAUUUUGAACCGCAUGGUUCAAAAGUGAAAGACGGUCUUGCUGUCACUUAUAGAUGGAUCCGCGCUGCAUUAGCUAGUUGGUAAGGUAACGGCUUACCAAGGCAACGAUGCAUAGCCGACCUGAGAGGGUGAUCGGCCACACUGGAACUGAGACACGGUCCAGACUCCUACGGGAGGCAGCAGUAGGGAAUCUUCCGCAAUGGGCGAAAGCCUGACGGAGCAACGCCGCGUGAGUGAUGAAGGUCUUCGGAUCGUAAAACUCUGUUAUUAGGGAAGAACAUAUGUGUAAGUAACUGUGCACAUCUUGACGGUACCUAAUCAGAAAGCCACGGCUAACUACGUG
RNAcentral lists this ribosomal RNA (497 nucleotides) under uncultured bacterium. Its description in RNAcentral is "partial 16S ribosomal RNA". It matches the Rfam family "Bacterial small subunit ribosomal RNA", at positions 28 to 507 of the family's 1533-position model. The record is from RNAcentral.